This 2617-nucleotide ribosomal RNA is filed under the name Triticum aestivum (bread wheat). Its description in RNAcentral is "partial small subunit ribosomal RNA". Lineage: Eukaryota; Viridiplantae; Streptophyta; Magnoliopsida; Poales; Poaceae. The record is from RNAcentral.
CUACAUUAAACCCAUUAACAGUCGCGCAAAGGGCGCCCUCUCCGCUAUGCCACGUCGGUUCACUGUGCUCGUCGAUUGGGCAAGUUGUGUUGCUUUCUAUUGGCUGGUCGUGGCUGAUAUACCCAAGAGAAAGCUUACGAGGGAAGGGAAAGAAGGCCUCUGUACGCAUGAACCCCACCUUCUCCAUCCCUACACGCAACCUCUUCCUCUCCUCCGCAUCUUCUGUCAGGGGCCCUUGUGGCUGCAGCAGAGGGCAGUCAAGGGGGCGAGCAGGAUGGGUCCAGCCGAUUUCUUCGCCGGAUCUGGAGCCCAGGGGCGACGCCGACGAGCACGCAGCCACGCCAACGUCGUUGCCUCGAGAGAGGAGUGGGUGGGAGGAGAAGGCGGCGGCGGCUCGAGGGCAAGGGUCGGAUCUUCUCGCCUGAUUCAUGGCCGUGUUGAUGCUGCAUGGAAGCAUUGGAAGCGAAAAAAACCCUUCACAUACCUAAAUGUAAGUGAAUCUCCCCGUCUUAAUUUAGGUUGACCUUGCAGUCUCGCUUACCCGUUCUGCUUCGCCCAUCGUUCAAUGUAGUUUAUGUUGAAUAGCUAGGUUGGUCCAUGAGAUCAUAUAUUGUACUACCGUUUAUUUAACCCAACUGCUACAUUGAAUAUUGAUAAUCUGAACACAAAAUGUUGCAAUUUUCAUUUUGAACUUUUCUGUGCAAGUGGAUAAAGCUAGGUCUGUACUUCUGGACCAAAACCAGUUUUGCAUGGUCAUUUCUUUAAAGAAAGGUUCAGAGCUUCUCAGAAGGAAAGGAAAAUACCACCUGAACUUUUAGCUUUCCACAUAUGUGUGAUCACUUGCUGAGUUUUCCACAUCAUAAGCUUUUCUUAUGAGUUUGUGGGAUUUUAGUUUUUUCAGGUCUCGCAGUUCUGAGAUUUAAUUCAUGUGCAACCGUCACAAACAGAUCUGUCUUGCAUUCUAAAUAUUGCAGCCUUGAACUUAUUUACAUUUCAGUUAACCUUUGUCCACAAGUGGCAGCCAGUUUUCUGAAUCUGUAAAUUGUAGUUGAAUUCUUAAUACAUCUAUGCCAUCUAUAGAAAAGCAUGACCUCCCGUGCCACUGUGCAACACCACAACGAUGAACAUCACUUGGCAAACAAGUCUCGAAUCAAUUUCGAUUUGCGAUGGUCUGCUCAGAGGGCGUUCUGGCGAUGUGUGGUGCUGUCCUAUUUAGUAGUGAUGUAUCUCUUCUACAAUCUUUUGGUAAUUUUGUAGAUUAGGAUGUUUAAUUCUUUUUCAAUGAUAGUUUAAUAGUAGUCAAGAUAUGGGAUCUGCAUGUCCAUUUUAUUUUAAUGCAUAUAUAUGUUUUUACUCUUAAUUACAUCUCUGGGAGUAUUAUGCCCAUUCAAGAAGCAAAAGCCAUAGCCUCUCCAACAAGGUUUUCAAUAUAAAGGGGGAAAUUUGAAGGUGUAUAAGGUAAAUAUGCAGAGCUCUAGGUAUAUUCCGUAAUAAAUUUUCUUUAUACAUUUCAUUAUAAUUAAAAAGGAAAUACGAAUGAGGUGCCUGUUGUCAGUUGCAAUCACAAAUCUAAGAAUCCCCCUUUAAAUGUAAUUGAUAAAUUGAUCAAAGAGUAAUUGUUUGCCUCCCUUCCCCCACUGCGUAGAGAGUGUGAGAACCACACAGCUAUAGGGCUAACCCUGAAUGAUUGCUUAUCAAUUUCAGCUACUACAAUUAUUGUGUAGAUUCAAGUAGUGUGUUGUAGUUACCAUGUCAUUUAUUUACACAAGAGAAGUUUUUGUGAAGCACCAGCAUAGGAUAGCUUUUGAAAGUUUUGGGAAGCCCUGAAGGACAUGUUUAGAAGUGGCUGCAUAGAUGGUAUGCAUAACAUUGCUUUGCAAACCUUUAGGAUGCUAGAUUGAAUCACUAGGAAGAAGACUAAUGGUGGCAUGAUAUUGUGUUCUGUCAUGCCCUCACUCCUUUUCCCUCUUGUCAACGGUACUACUUUCAGGUGAAAUACGCAGAGAACAAUUUGAAGGAGUACAUCCACGGAGACGAUGAUAUCCUACCAGUCAAGCUUGGAGAUGGACCACCAUCACGACGAUCGCUUCAUGCUUGGAACUGACAAGAGGGCCACCAUCACGACGAACUAAUCAUAGUUUCGCCACCACCCAAACAUCCAGCAAGGUGACAUCUGCACCUUCCUUUUCAAGCACAAGCAAGGGCGCUGCCUCUCUCUCUCAUGUGCACCGUCUCUAGACACACCACCGUCAGCGGCAUCUAUCGUCUAUACAUAUGAUCCAUGUAUGGUCUUUAGUUUCUCUCUUAUGACUUAAUAUGUCUAUGCUCUGAUGACCCAGUGAACUAUGUAUUUAGUUUCUCUCUAAGACUUAAUAUGCCUGUGCUCUGAUUAUCCAGUGAACUAUGUCUCUCUUUUGGAGAUCGCCCACCUUUGGGAGGAUGGUAGAGUUUGAUUUCAACCGAUCGCCAUGCUCUGUGAUACCUUUUAGAGGAUGUUGAGUUUGAUUUCAACAGAUCGCCAUGCUUUGUGAUCAGUCAUCCAUCUUGUAAGACUGUCACCUCCCUGUUAAAAUUGACAUGCGUGCUUUAUGAGCUAAUAUUGUGCUGCUGCAGUUCU